UGGGAAAGGGGCACGGUCGCGGAUGGGCAACCAUCUGAGGAAAGUCCGGGCUCCAUAGGGCAGGGUGCCAGCUAACGGCUGGGCGGGGUAACCCGACGGAAAGUGCAACAGAGAGCAGACCGCCUAAGCUCGCCCGAGACCGGGGCCUACAACCCCUCGCUCGCGAGCCGGCAAGGGUGAAACGGUGGGGUAAGAGCCCACCAGUGCUGGUGGAAACAUCGGCAGCUAGGCAAACCCCACCCGGUGCAAGGCUAGCCCGCGUAAGCGGGUAAGGUAGGGAGGGCUUGCCCGGCCCGUACCUGCGAGAAACAGCCGCUCGAGGUCGCUGGCGACAGCGAUCCUAGAUAGAUGACCGUGGAAACAGAACCCGGCUUACACCCUUUCCCGGGCU
This 391-nucleotide RNase P RNA is filed under the name Allomeiothermus silvanus. RNAcentral describes it as "Meiothermus silvanus RNase P RNA component class A". It matches the Rfam family "Bacterial RNase P class A". Rfam says of the family: Ribonuclease P (RNase P) is a ubiquitous endoribonuclease, found in archaea, bacteria and eukarya as well as chloroplasts and mitochondria. Its best characterised activity is the generation of mature 5'-ends of tRNAs by cleaving the 5'-leader elements of precursor-tRNAs. RNAcentral also lists the same sequence under 1 other name. The record is from RNAcentral. Lineage: Bacteria; Thermotogati; Deinococcota; Deinococci; Thermales; Thermaceae.